UACGUAGGGGGCAAGCGUUGUCCGGAAUGACUGGGCGUAAAGGGAGUGUAGGCGGCUAUGCAAGUUAGAUGUGAAAUCCCUCGGCUCAACCGAGGAACUGCAUCUAAAACUGUAUAGCUGGAGUGCAGGAGAGGUGAGUGGAAUUCCUAGUGUAGCGGUGGAAUGCGUAGAUAUUAGGAGGAACACCAGAGGCGAAGGCGACUCACUGGACUGUAACUGACGCUGAGGCUCGAAAGCGUGGGGAGCAAAUA
Molecule: ribosomal RNA, 251 nt
Filed under: uncultured bacterium
Lineage: Bacteria
Description: partial 16S ribosomal RNA
Rfam family: Bacterial small subunit ribosomal RNA
Source: RNAcentral